RNAcentral lists this transfer RNA (69 nucleotides) under Marmota marmota marmota (Alpine marmot). It matches the Rfam family "tRNA". Rfam says of the family: Transfer RNA (tRNA) molecules are approximately 80 nucleotides in length. The record is from Rfam by way of RNAcentral. Lineage: Eukaryota; Metazoa; Chordata; Mammalia; Rodentia; Sciuridae. RNAcentral also lists the same sequence under 2 other names.
GGGGUUGUGGCUCAGUGGUAGAGCACUUGUCUAGCAUGUGUGAGGCCCUGGGUUCAACUCUCAGCACCA